AGCGUAGACGGUGUGGCAAGUCUGAUGUGAAAACCCAGGGCUUAACCCUGGGACUGCAUUGGAAACUGUCUGGCUCGAGUGCCGGAGAGGUAAGCGGAAUUCCUAGUGCAGCGGUGAAAUGCGUAGAUAUUAGGAAGAACACCAGUGGCGAAGGCGGCUUACUGGACGGUAACUGACGUUGAGGCUCGAAAGCGUGGGGAGCAAACA
This 207-nucleotide ribosomal RNA is filed under the name uncultured bacterium. RNAcentral's name for it is "partial 16S ribosomal RNA". It matches the Rfam family "Bacterial small subunit ribosomal RNA", at positions 568 to 774 of the family's 1533-position model. The record is from RNAcentral.